GAACACUUUCACUCUCCACUUGCUUUUCACAUUUUCUUCUUUCAUGUUCUGAAAUCUUCCAUUUUCUUACAUUUAACUCCGAACCAGAAUUUUUUCAUGACGGAACCACCGUGCCGGAACUCUUCUUCCGCCGUCAUCUUCUUCUCCUUCUGAUGUGAGUCUCCUAUUAAUUUUCUUUGUUCAAUUCAUGCUUCAAAACUAUAAAUUUUUGUUGAAAAUUUUAUAGUGUAAUUGUUAAAUCUGAAAAUUUGUUGUGUUGUUUGAAAUUAUCACCUUACUCAGUUUGUGUUACAAAAUCAAGAGACCAUUUGAAAAUUCUCCACUUCUGUUUUCUAUUUUUAAUCUAUGAAUCACAGAUACCGGAUAUGACACGGACACUUACAUGUCGAUGCCAAUAAUAUUUUAAGAAAAUGACAUAAUUUGACGUAAUUAUAUGUGCAGGUGUAGGACACCUGCGUGUGUUCGACACACCUAAUCCAAGGAGAGUCCAUGUUUCGUGGUUUGAGAUGUAUUUAAUUUUUCCAAGCUAUUCAUUUUGAUUUUGAUUUGGUCUCAAUUCUGACUUUGGGAUAGAUUGAGUAAACUUUAAUCUAUAUAAAUUUAAGAUAAUUACACAUGAAAGACAAGUGGGCAACAAGCUCCGCUAAUGUUGUGAUUAAUUUUUGGUUAAAUCUGAAACUUAGCUCAAUUUUGUUAAAUAUUGGUUAAAUAAUGUGAUUAAUUUCUGGUUUGGGUAUAUAUGUUUGCUGUUGUUGGAUUGUUAUGUCAUGUUUUGGACUGCUGAUCAUCCUCCCGUGCUGUUAGUCGGGAGCUUCACUACCUUAGGGAAGCUUUUUCGCGGUAGUUAGUCCUGCGCGGUUGUAAAGUGUGUUCUUGCAAACACCGUUUUAGGUUAACACUUGAUCAAAAAUGCUCUGAAGUCAAGUCUUAGAGGUAUAGUGAAUAUGUAAAAAGUGGUGAUCUGACCUAAUGGCACUAGGGUCCUAUAUAUAGGCCUUCAUCUAACGGAUAUGGCUAUCAUUUUGCCUAAAGGGUGAGGAGCGGUUAGCACCGCUCCGUCCCUUCGAUGUGUUCCCAUGUGUCCUAUUGUUUCGGACCUAUCCGCUUCUACACGACUUCAUCCAUCCUUAUCUAGGUUAUUUUACCCAUAGGAAAAGCAUGAGCUAGUCUUUUGGGCGUAUUGGGCUUCCUGUUAUAGAGGCGGGUCCAGCCCAACCAAAUUUCUGGGUCUCGCCCAGUCCAAAGUGAAAUCAGUAAAUUUAAGGUGGGGAAGAUAUGUAUUAGGUGUAGAAUUGGGAUAAUUUUUAGUUUUUUCUUAAACAGCGAAUGUCAAUAUUGUUAAUAAUUGUUGGCAUUAUUAUGCUGGGAACGGGGAUCAAACCCUCAACCUCCUUAGCACUCCACUUCUUAACUCCCCCACCUCAGUCACCAAACCAAUCUUAUUCUUAUAUCCAUUGGAUAAAUUGUUUGAUAAUUUGUAUGGCUAUAGGGAUUAUUUGACAUUAAAGCAUGACUUUUAUAUUUUCUUGCAAUUUAAUUUAUGCUAUUAUGAUAUGCUACUGUUUAUUUGCAAUUGUACAUUUGUAAAUAAACAGUAGCAUAUCAAAAUAAGAUGCAGUUUUUGUGGUCAUUCUAUUAAUCUCAAUCUCGAUAAGAAAGAGCUUUCUCCUGUAAUCAACGUUGGUAAUGUGAUUGUGAAGUGUAUUUAUUAAUAUGCUCUAUGCUCUAAGUAUAGCCCUUAAAUCCGAGUUGUCUAAUCCUACGUUUUUUCUGCAGUGUGAUGGCAUUAAACAAUAGCCCAACUAAGCUUCAUUUUCGAGCUUCUGUAUUUUCACGGUGGGAGUGCCUUGGAACACGAGAAAUAAUUGGUACAUGCUAAACCAAACAUACAUUAAGUAGUUAAGAACUUUUGUGUUAUAUGCAUCUGUUUUCGGACUUUGAUCCAAAAGUGUUGGAAUUAGAUUUCUAAAAUUGGUAUCAAUUAUAUUCUCAUGUUGGAUCCAAGAAAUUGUGAACUAAUGGUUAUUCCUUUAUAUAUUCUAAAUUGGUUUGUGAAUUGAGUGUUAGAUAAUACACAUUAGCAAGUCCUUUUGAUAGAAAUGAUGACUAGGUUGCUUAACCUUGGUGAUUUGAUACUAUUUGUGUAGUCUUUUGUUGAUUUACAUUUGUUUAUUUGUAU
This 2179-nucleotide long non-coding RNA is filed under the name Trifolium pratense (red clover). RNAcentral describes it as "long non-coding RNA (TPRA_LNC000645)". Lineage: Eukaryota; Viridiplantae; Streptophyta; Magnoliopsida; Fabales; Fabaceae. The record is from RNAcentral.